GCAGUGGUGGGUCUGUGGUAGAAGUCUCGUCUUCCACGUGGGAGACCCGGGUUUGAUUCCCGGCCAGUGUG
Molecule: transfer RNA, 71 nt
Filed under: Loxodonta africana (African savanna elephant)
Lineage: Eukaryota; Metazoa; Chordata; Mammalia; Proboscidea; Elephantidae
Rfam family: tRNA
About the family: Transfer RNA (tRNA) molecules are approximately 80 nucleotides in length.
Source: Rfam by way of RNAcentral